RNAcentral lists this ribosomal RNA (1531 nucleotides) under Escherichia coli. RNAcentral describes it as "bacterial SSU rRNA". It matches the Rfam family "Bacterial small subunit ribosomal RNA". Lineage: Bacteria; Pseudomonadati; Pseudomonadota; Gammaproteobacteria; Enterobacterales; Enterobacteriaceae. The record is from RNAcentral.
AGAGUUUGAUCAUGGCUCAGAUUGAACGCUGGCGGCAGGCCUAACACAUGCAAGUCGAACGGUAACAGGAAACAGCUUGCUGUUUCGCUGACGAGUGGGCGGACGGGUGAGUAAUGUCUGGGAAACUGCCUGAUGGAGGGGGAUAACUACUGGAAACGGUAGCUAAUACCGCAUAACGUCGCAAGACCAAAGAGGGGGACCUUCGGGCCUCUUGCCAUCGGAUGUGCCCAGAUGGGAUUAGCUUGUUGGUGGGGUAACGGCUCACCAAGGCGACGAUCCCUAGCUGGUCUGAGAGGAUGACCAGCCACACUGGAACUGAGACACGGUCCAGACUCCUACGGGAGGCAGCAGUGGGGAAUAUUGCACAAUGGGCGCAAGCCUGAUGCAGCCAUGCCGCGUGUAUGAAGAAGGCCUUCGGGUUGUAAAGUACUUUCAGCGGGGAGGAAGGGAGUAAAGUUAAUACCUUUGCUCAUUGACGUUACCCGCAGAAGAAGCACCGGCUAACUCCGUGCCAGCAGCCGCGGUAAUACGGAGGGUGCAAGCGUUAAUCGGAAUUACUGGGCGUAAAGCGCACGCAGGCGGUUUGUUAAGUCAGAUGUGAAAUCCCCGGGCUCAACCUGGGAACUGCAUCUGAUACUGGCAAGCUUGAGUCUCGUAGAGGGGGGUAGAAUUCCAGGUGUAGCGGUGAAAUGCGUAGAGAUCUGGAGGAAUACCGGUGGCGAAGGCGGCCCCCUGGACGAAGACUGACGCUCAGGUGCGAAAGCGUGGGGAGCAAACAGGAUUAGAUACCCUGGUAGUCCACGCCGUAAACGAUGUCGACUUGGAGGUUGUGCCCUUGAGGCGUGGCUUCCGGAGCUAACGCGUUAAGUCGACCGCCUGGGGAGUACGGCCGCAAGGUUAAAACUCAAAUGAAUUGACGGGGGCCCGCACAAGCGGUGGAGCAUGUGGUUUAAUUCGAUGCAACGCGAAGAACCUUACCUGGUCUUGACAUCCACGGAAGUUUUCAGAGAUGAGAAUGUGCCUUCGGGAACCGUGAGACAGGUGCUGCAUGGCUGUCGUCAGCUCGUGUUGUGAAAUGUUGGGUUAAGUCCCGCAACGAGCGCAACCCUUAUCCUUUGUUGCCAGCGGUCCGGCCGGGAACUCAAAGGAGACUGCCAGUGAUAAACUGGAGGAAGGUGGGGAUGACGUCAAGUCAUCAUGGCCCUUACGACCAGGGCUACACACGUGCUACAAUGGCGCAUACAAAGAGAAGCGACCUCGCGAGAGCAAGCGGACCUCAUAAAGUGCGUCGUAGUCCGGAUUGGAGUCUGCAACUCGACUCCAUGAAGUCGGAAUCGCUAGUAAUCGUGGAUCAGAAUGCCACGGUGAAUACGUUCCCGGGCCUUGUACACACCGCCCGUCACACCAUGGGAGUGGGUUGCAAAAGAAGUAGGUAGCUUAACCUUCGGGAGGGCGCUUACCACUUUGUGAUUCAUGACUGGGGUGAAGUCGUAACAAGGUAACCGUAGGGGAACCUGCGGUUGGAUCACCU